GGAGGAGUCGCAUAGUUGGUCUAGUGCACUUGUCUUGAAAACAAGAGUGCCGCAAGGCACCGUGGGUUCGAAUCCCACCUCCUCCG
This 86-nucleotide transfer RNA is filed under the name Candidatus Vogelbacteria bacterium CG10_big_fil_rev_8_21_14_0_10_45_14. RNAcentral describes it as "tRNA-Ser". It matches the Rfam family "tRNA". From Rfam's summary of the family: Transfer RNA (tRNA) molecules are approximately 80 nucleotides in length. Lineage: Bacteria; Candidatus Vogeliibacteriota. The record is from RNAcentral.